UCCGUAGGUGAACCUGCGGAGGGAUCAUUACAGAGUUGAAAAACUCCAACCCCUGUGAACAUACCUUUACUGUUGCUUCGGCGGACGAUGGCCCCCCCCGGGGGCCGGACGCCGCCGGAGGUUACAAACCCUGAAUUUUAGUGUAUCUCUGAGUAUAAAACCAAAUAAUUAAAACUUUCAACAACGGAUCUCUUGGUUCUGGCAUCGAUGAAGAACGCAGCGAAAUGCGAUAAGUAAUGUGAAUUGCAGAAUUCAGUGAAUCAUCGAAUCUUUGAACGCACAUUGCGCCCGCCGGUAUUCCGGCGGGCAUGCCUGUCCGAGCGUCAUUUCACCACUCAAGCCCAGCUUGGUGUUGGGGCACCCGGCCGCCCGGCGGUCGGGGCCCCCAAGAACAUCGGCGGUCUCGCCAGGACCCUGAACGCAGUAACUCGCGGUAAAACGCGCUUCGUUCGGAGGCUUCCCGGCGGGCUCCAGCCGCUAAACCCCCUAAACUUCUUAGGUUGACCUCGGAUCAGGUAGGAAUACCCGCUGAACUUAAGCAUAUCAAUAAGCGGAGGA
RNAcentral lists this ribosomal RNA (558 nucleotides) under Gaeumannomyces graminis. Its description in RNAcentral is "eukaryotic LSU rRNA". The stretch from base 173 to 326 matches the Rfam family "5.8S ribosomal RNA". The record is from RNAcentral. Lineage: Eukaryota; Fungi; Ascomycota; Sordariomycetes; Magnaporthales; Magnaporthaceae.